AGCGAACGCUGGCGGCAGGCUUAACACAUGCAAGUCGAGCGGGCGUAGCGAAUACGUCAGCGGCAGACGGGUGAGUAACGCGUGGGAACAUACCUUUUGGUUCGGAACAACACGAGGGAAACUUGUGCUAAUACCGGAUAAGCCCUUACGGGGAAAGAUUUAUCGCCGAAAGAUUGGCCCGCGUCUGAUUAGCUAGUUGGUGAGGUAACGGCUCACCAAGGCGACGAUCAGUAGCNGGUCUGAGAGGAUGAUCAGCCACAUUGGGACUGAGACACGGCCCAAACUCCUACGGGAGGCAGCA
Molecule: ribosomal RNA, 301 nt
Filed under: uncultured bacterium
Lineage: Bacteria
Description: bacterial SSU rRNA
Rfam family: Bacterial small subunit ribosomal RNA
Source: RNAcentral